CCAUUCAAGUCCCACAGUUGCCCUGCGAAACCUCUGUAUAUGAAAAGUUGGCCCUCCAUGUACAUGGGUUUCCCAUCCUGUCACAGAAUUUUCCACACUCCUUGACAGAGGUGCUUAACCCUUAUCCAUCAGCAUUCUCAGACAGCACCUCCGGUUAGGGACAGUAUCUGACCGUCCGACAUCCCUGCAGCCCCCAUGUGUCACACAGACUCAGCCUCAGGUAGAUGGUUUCCGUAGAUGGUGGCUUUCUUUGGACCCUUGACAUCAACCAGUUACUAUUUGCUCCUGCAACCACCGCUGUACUUUCUGUCUCUAUGAACUUGACUACUCUAGACACCUCAUGGGACCAGAUGUGCAGAGGUAAUGAAUACCAGGGAAUCAGGAAACCACUGGAUCAGUUCUUUGAGCCACAGAACAACACUCAUCCCAGCAGCUGGGAAGCUAUCUGCAAAAGUCCAUCUGCAGAAAGGGCUUCCUGGUCUUGCGUGUGGCUGGGCCAUUUCUCUGGAUGCAGGUUUUUCAUUAUACAGUCUUCUCAAAGAACCACCUGCUCUCAACACC
RNAcentral lists this long non-coding RNA (561 nucleotides) under Homo sapiens (human). Its description in RNAcentral is "PCBP1 antisense RNA 1". Lineage: Eukaryota; Metazoa; Chordata; Mammalia; Primates; Hominidae. The record is from RNAcentral.